Ictidomys tridecemlineatus (thirteen-lined ground squirrel) is the source of this 73-nucleotide non-coding RNA. The record is from Rfam. Lineage: Eukaryota; Metazoa; Chordata; Mammalia; Rodentia; Sciuridae.
GGGGAUGUAGCUCACUUGGUAGAGUGCUUGCCUCGAAUGCAUAAGGCCCUGGGUUCAAUCCCCAGCAUCACAC